UGUGAAUGUCUAUAGACUAACUAUGUGCAAGAUAAAUUGGAGAUAAUCACCGGAGGAAAGGCAUUAGAGUUAGGAGGGAUCAGGAAUGGGUUUCUGUUGAAGGGAGGAAUUUAGUUGGGACAUAAUGGCAGCCAAGAAAGCCAGGAAGCAGAGAUGAGGAGGGGAAGUUGAGUAUUCCAGAAAUGGUGGACUACCAGCGGGAAAUGCCUGGAGGUAUGCCAAUGGAAUGCGUCUAAGGACUGUCCAAACCAAGAUUCAUCCAUCACUGAAGUCUGUUAGCAUGGUUUUAUAGUAAGAUCGAUCAAUAAUUUCAGAUCAUGUCUUCUGCGUUCUAUUUGGACAGAUGGGCUGUUAAUAUUAACAUCAUUCUCAUUAGCAAUUAAAGAUAGCGUGGUGUAAUAAAAUGAAUGCUGAAACUAGAGUCA
This 425-nucleotide long non-coding RNA is filed under the name Monodelphis domestica (gray short-tailed opossum). Its description in RNAcentral is "lncRNA (ENSMODG00000051282.1)". Lineage: Eukaryota; Metazoa; Chordata; Mammalia; Didelphimorphia; Didelphidae. The record is from RNAcentral.